CCGACGGUGAGAGGCGAAAGCUGGGGGAGCAAACCGGAUUAGAUACCCGGGUAGUCCCAGCUGUAAACGAUGCGCGUUAGGUGUGUCAGUGACCACGUGUCACUGAUGUGCCGAAGGGAAACCGUGAAACGCGCCGCCUGGGGAGUACGGUCGCAAGGCUGAAACUUAUAGGAAUUGGCGGGGGAGCACCACAACGGGUGGAGCCUGCGGUUUAAUCGGACUCAACGCCGGAAAUCUCACCGGAUAA
Molecule: ribosomal RNA, 247 nt
Filed under: uncultured archaeon
Lineage: Archaea
Description: partial 16S ribosomal RNA
Rfam family: Archaeal small subunit ribosomal RNA
Source: RNAcentral